UUGAUUUCUUCGGAAUGAUUUUUAACUGACUGAGCGGCGGACGGGUGAGUAACGCGUGGGUGACCUGCCCCAUACCGGGGGAUAACAGCUGGAAACGGCUGCUAAUACCGCAUAAGCGCACAGAGCUGCAUGGCUCGGUGUGAAAAACUCCGGUGGUAUGGGAUGGACCCGCGUCUGAUUAGAUAGUUGGUGGGGUAACGGCCCACCAAGGCGACGAUCAGUAGCCGGCCUGAGAGGGCGACCGGCCACAUUGGGACUGAGACACGGCCCAGACUCC
This 277-nucleotide ribosomal RNA is filed under the name uncultured Eubacteriales bacterium. Its description in RNAcentral is "uncultured Clostridiales bacterium partial 16S ribosomal RNA". It matches the Rfam family "Bacterial small subunit ribosomal RNA", at positions 68 to 339 of the family's 1533-position model. The record is from RNAcentral. Lineage: Bacteria; Bacillati; Bacillota; Clostridia; Eubacteriales.